This 468-nucleotide ribosomal RNA is filed under the name uncultured bacterium. Its description in RNAcentral is "partial 16S ribosomal RNA". It matches the Rfam family "Bacterial small subunit ribosomal RNA", at positions 28 to 507 of the family's 1533-position model. The record is from RNAcentral.
GACGAACGCUGGCGGCGUGCUUAACACAUGCAAGUCGAACGGAAAGGCCCUGCUUUUGUGGGGUGCUCGAGUGGCGAACGGGUGAGUAACACGUGAGUAACCUGCCCUUGACUUUGGGAUAACUUCAGGAAACUGGGGCUAAUACCGGAUAGGAGCUCCUGCUGCAUGGUGGGGGUUGGAAAGUUUCGGCGGUUGGGGAUGGACUCGCGGCUUAUCAGCUUGUUGGGGGGGUAGUGGCUUACCAAGGCUUUGACGGGUAGCCGGCCUGAGAGGGUGACCGGCCACAUUGGGACUGAGAUACGGCCCAGACUCCUACGGGAGGCAGCAGUGGGGAAUAUUGCACAAUGGGCGGAAGCCUGAUGCAGCAACGCCGCGUGCGGGAUGACGGCUUUCGGGUUGUAAACCGCUUUCGCCUGUGACGAAGCGUGAGUGACGGUAAUGGAUAAAGAAGCACCGGCUAACUACGUG